This 1343-nucleotide long non-coding RNA is filed under the name Heterocephalus glaber (naked mole-rat). RNAcentral describes it as "lncRNA (ENSHGLG00000047784.1)". The record is from RNAcentral. Lineage: Eukaryota; Metazoa; Chordata; Mammalia; Rodentia; Bathyergidae.
GUGAGGCCAAGACCUGGAGGUGAGCAGGGUUCUCUAGGCCCUGAGAUCUCACCCUGCUCUCUCCCCACUCAAGGUGGCUCCUGAGUGACAAGCGCCGGGUGCAGCUGGACCCACCACCCGCCUUGACCACGGGCACUUGGGACCUUCCUCCCAGGGUCCCUGGGUCCAAUUGGAGCAAAGAGCAAGCAGCAUCUCAAGACAGUGUGUGAACAAGACAAGAGUCCGUCUGGUGCAGCUUGGAGGUGACAUUGCUUAACUGGCCCUGUUCUGUUGGUUAGAACAAGUUACUAGGUCACCCACACCCAGGGGAGGGGGUUACCCUGAGACACAGGGGUCACUACGGACAUUCAGCACCUGCCAUUGUCCAUCCUCUGACUCCCAAUAAUUUACGUCCCUUCCAGGAGCAAUGCAUACCCAGCUGCCUUUAAAAAAAUUAAACUGGACCAAGGUGCAGGUCCAGUGACCAGAGAGAAGAACAGCAGGGAUGCUGGGGUGGGAGGGCAAGCUUGGCCUUCGGUGCUGCAGAACAGAGGCCCCAAGUGCUGGCUUGGUUUAUAACAGCAACACAUAGACUCUGAUCUCAUUUAUAGACAGAAGUGAAACAAAACUAGGUAUCUUUUAAGAGGACAAUCAGAGGACCCUUCUGGAGUGGCUUGAGGGAAGCUCACCAGUUUACAGCUGUGACCCAGGGUGAGGGUGGCAGCAGGCGGGCAGGGGCUUGGCCUCCGUACUUUGCACACUGAGACAGAGUGUGCAUACUUGUUGGUGUUAUGUCAAACAUGUUCAGCCCAGGUGUGGUGAUGCAGGCCUGUAAUCCCAACAUUCUGGGCGGCUGAGGCAAGAGGAUCAGGAGUUUGAACCAAACCUGGGCAAUGUAGCAGGACCCUGUCUCAAAAAAUAAAUAGAUAAAUAAAAUGGGCUAAGGAUGUCACUCAGAGGGCCGGGGAUUUAGCUCAGUGGUUUCUCUGCCUGCUGUGCAAGCACAAGGACCCGAGUUCAAUCCCCAGUACAAAAAUAAAAAAAAAAAAAAGAAAAGAAAAAGGAUGUCACUCAGUGGGAAGGCCGUGGGGUUUAAUUUCCAGGACCCCAAAACAAACCAAACAAAACAUGUGUUCUAAGUUGCCAUCCAAUGGCUAUAAGAUGCACCAUUAUUUCUGUGUGUCUAAGAGAAAACACUGCUGUUAGACCACAAGACUAGGCCUCAAGGCUGGACAGGCAGGGGCUAUAGCCCCCAAAUGUCAAAAGCAGUGUGAGACAGCCCUGGCCUCUGGGAAAUCUGCCCACUUCUCUGUCUCUCUUGUUUCUCACCCAUCUCUCUCUGUCCCUCUCCCUGGUCCUGCCCG